This 48-nucleotide small RNA is filed under the name Streptomyces glaucescens. RNAcentral describes it as "raiA-hairpin RNA". It matches the Rfam family "raiA-hairpin RNA". Lineage: Bacteria; Bacillati; Actinomycetota; Actinomycetes; Kitasatosporales; Streptomycetaceae. The record is from Rfam by way of RNAcentral.
CACCGAGUCCGAGGUUCCGGGGUUCACCCGGACCUGGUGCACAAGGGA